RNAcentral lists this ribosomal RNA (1223 nucleotides) under uncultured euryarchaeote. RNAcentral's name for it is "bacterial SSU rRNA". It matches the Rfam family "Archaeal small subunit ribosomal RNA", at positions 67 to 1296 of the family's 1478-position model. Lineage: Archaea; Methanobacteriati; Methanobacteriota. The record is from RNAcentral.
ACUUUAUUGUGGGGGCGAAACGCUCAGUAACACGUCAAUAAUCUGCCCUUAGGUGGAAGAUAACCUCGGGAAACUGAGGCUAAUACUCCAUAUAUGAUAAAAAUUGGAAUAUUUUAUCAUUGAAACUUUUGGCCUAAGGAUGAGUUGGCGGUCGAUUAGGUUGUUGGCGGUGUAAUGGACCACCAAGCCUAUGAUCGGUACGGGCCUUGAGAGAGGUAGCCCGGAGAGGGACACUGAGGAACUGGUCCCAACCCUACGGGGUGCAGCAGGCGCGAAACCUUUACAAUGCACGAAAGUGUGAUAAGGGAAUCCUAAGUGCUUACGUAUUGCGUAGGCUUUUUUUAAGAGUAAAUAUCUUAGAGAAUAAGUGGUGGGAAAGACUGGUGCCAGCCGCCGCGGUAACACCAGCGCCACAAGUGGCAACCGCGUUUAUUGGGCCUAAAGCGUUCGUAGCAGGAAUUUUAAGUCUUUUGUGAAAUCGUCAUGCUUAACAUGACGUCGUGCAGAAGAUACUGGAAUUCUAGAGACCGGAAGGAGUUAGAAGUAUUCUGGGGGGAGCGGUAAAAUGCUAUAAUCCUCGGAGGACUACCUGUGGCGAAGGCGUCUAACUAGGACGGAUCUGACUGUGAGGAACGAAAGCCAGGGGAGCGAACCGGAUUAGAUACCCGAGUAGUCCUGGCCGUAAACGCUGCGAGCUAGGUAUAGUGUAUUCUACAUGAAUAUGCUGUGUCGAAGCGAAGGUGAUAAGCUCGCCGCCUGGGAAGUACGGUCGCAAGAUUGAAACUUUAAGGAAUUGGCGGGGGAGCACAACAAGGGGUGGAGCGUGCGGUUUAAUCUAACUCAACACAGAGAAUCUCACUAGAGGCGACAGUAGAAUGAAGGUCAACUUAAAGAGUUUACCUGACGCGCUGAGAGGUGGUGCAUGGCCGCCGUCAGCUCGUGCCGUAAGGUGUCCAGUUAAGUCUGGUAACGAGCGAGACCUGUGUCUGCUAUUGCUAACAACUCUUUUGAGGAUUGAGCACAUUGCAGGGACUGCCCUGGAAACAGGGAGGAAGGUGCAGGCAACGGUAGGUCUGUAUGCCCCGAAUCCUCUAGGCUACACGCGCGCAACAAUGGUUGGGACAAUAGGUUGCAACUCUGAAAAGAGAAGCCAAUCCUCGAAACCCAAUCUAAGUUCAGAUUGAGCUUUGUAACUCAAGCUCAUGACGCCGGAAUCCCUAGUA